GGGGGGGGCAAGCGUUGUUCGGAAUUACUGGGCGUAAAGGGCGCGCAGGCGGCCCGGCAAGUCCUACGUGAAAUCCCACAGCUCAACUGUGGAAUUGCGUGGGAUACUGCCAGGCUUGAGUCCGGGAGAGGAGAGUGGAAUUCCCAGUGUAGCGGUGAAAUGCGUAGAUAUUGGGAGGAACACCGGUGGCGAAGGCGGCUCUCUGGACCGGUACUGACGCUGAGGCGCGAAAGCUAGGGGAGCAAACGGGGAUUAGAUACCCCGGUAGUCCUAGCCCUAAACGUUGAGCACUUGGUGUGGCGGGUAUCGACCCCCUGCCGUGCCGAAGCUAACGCAUUAAGUGCUCCGCCUGGGGGAGUACGGUCGCAAGGCUG
Molecule: ribosomal RNA, 374 nt
Filed under: uncultured organism
Description: partial 16S ribosomal RNA
Rfam family: Bacterial small subunit ribosomal RNA
Source: RNAcentral